RNAcentral lists this long non-coding RNA (727 nucleotides) under Brassica napus (rape). Its description in RNAcentral is "long non-coding RNA (BNAP_LNC008165)". The record is from RNAcentral. Lineage: Eukaryota; Viridiplantae; Streptophyta; Magnoliopsida; Brassicales; Brassicaceae.
GCGCGGGUCGUAGUAUAGUUUUCUCUUUAUGCAAGGAAUGAGGCUUUGGAGUUAUAUAGCAAAUCAUCUUAAUUGGUCUUGGGUUAUUUUGUCUUCACACAAUUUCAUGAUGUACUUGCUUAUCUUCUAAGUAUCUAUCACAUGACCUUAGUAAAAUUGUCAUAACUUUUUAAUCAUUUGAAGGUUAUAAUUAAAGUAGUUCAACAGUGGCCUGGACAUAUGGUUUUAAAUCUGCCAAGAAUAUAUUUUUGCUUGUUCUUUGUACUUUUUCCCAACUUACCUCAAAAGACUCAAGACCACAAAAUUCUUAAAAAAUAUUAAAAUCUAUUAAAAACAGUAUUAAAACACCUGUAGAAACAUAUCAAACAAGGGUCAAAAGAUAUUAGGUUAUAUCACUUUCGUUGUUUGUGGGGAGAGGUUAGAGAGUGGGGAAGCCAAGCUAUGCCGAAGAUGGUGCACACGGAGUUUGUCUAACUCUUCCCGCUAAUUCAGGAAUGUGACUUUCGUCAAAAUGAAAGUCGGAAAACUGAUAUGAAUAUGUCUAAAGUUACCAAUUGAGAGAGCUUAUUAUACUUGUCGACUCUUACCCAAUAUGUAUAUCCCACACACAUGGACAAAGGAUACACUUUGCAAAAUGUAAGAACUAUGUCAAAAACUAUAACACACAUUGACUUGGGAUAUCUUUGUUGAAUUAUACUGUUAUAUUUUUGUUACAGAAAAAAAGAUA